AAGGGUACAGCUCAACGGUAGAGUGUGUGCUUAGCAUGCACGAGGUUCUAGGUUCAAUCCCCAGUACCUUCA
Molecule: transfer RNA, 72 nt
Filed under: Camelus bactrianus (Bactrian camel)
Lineage: Eukaryota; Metazoa; Chordata; Mammalia; Artiodactyla; Camelidae
Also listed under: 2 other names
Rfam family: tRNA
About the family: Transfer RNA (tRNA) molecules are approximately 80 nucleotides in length. Their secondary structure includes four short double-helical elements and three loops (D, anti-codon, and T loops).
Source: Rfam by way of RNAcentral